This 385-nucleotide unclassified non-coding RNA is filed under the name uncultured Actinomycetes bacterium. RNAcentral describes it as "uncultured actinobacterium contains 16S-23S intergenic spacer region". Lineage: Bacteria; Bacillati; Actinomycetota; Actinomycetes. The record is from RNAcentral.
UCCGAGUUGACCCCGGCAGUCUCCUAUGAGUCCCCACCAUCCCGAAGGACGUGCUGGCAACAUAGAACGAGGGUUGCGCUCGUUGCGGGACUUAACCCAACAUCUCACGACACGAGCUGACGACAACCAUGCACCACCUGUAAACCGACCGCAAGCGGGGCACCUGUCUCCAGGCGUUUCCGGUUCAUGUCAAGCCUUGGUAAGGUUCUUCGCGUUGCAUCGAAUUAAAGAACAUGCUCCGCUGCUUGUGCGGGCCCCCGUCAAUUCCUUUGAGUUUUAGCCUUGCGGCCGUACUCCCCAGGCGGAACACUUAUCGCGUUGGCUUCGGCACAGACAGAUUCGACUCCGCCCACACCUAGUGUUCAUCGUUUACGGCUAGGACUAC